This 207-nucleotide ribosomal RNA is filed under the name uncultured bacterium. RNAcentral's name for it is "partial 16S ribosomal RNA". It matches the Rfam family "Bacterial small subunit ribosomal RNA", at positions 568 to 774 of the family's 1533-position model. The record is from RNAcentral.
CACGUAGGCGGAUAUUUAAGUCAGGGGUGAAAUCCCAGAGCUCAACUCUGGAACUGCCUCUGAUACUGGGUAUCUUGAGUAUGGAAGAGGUAAGUGGAAUUCCGAGUGUAGAGGUGAAAUUCGUAGAUAUUCGGAGGAACACCAGUGGCGAAGGCGGCUUACUGGUCCAUUACUGACGCUGAGGUGCGAAAGCGUGGGGAGCAAACA